Long non-coding RNA from Anser brachyrhynchus (Pink-footed goose), 1854 nucleotides. NCBI's taxonomy places the organism in Eukaryota, Metazoa, Chordata, Aves, Anseriformes, Anatidae. The record is from Ensembl.
GGGUGAGGGAGUUAUUUGGUGUCUACUUUCCUAUCAAUUCUGCCCCUCUGUUUCUCUAGCAACCUGACCGCGUAGAAUGAGUGGAUUUGCAGCAAGACAGUUAAAAUAGCAAAGGAUGUAGCAAUCUAACAGAGGAAAGAGAGCUGUGUAAAAAUAUUUUGCUGUCAUAUACGUAGUUUCACUCCCCAGUAUGUACAUAUACCUUGUAGAAUUGAUGAUUUAUGUGAUCAAAAAAGAGAGCUACUUCUGAUAAAUCAGGUUACAGCUUUUCCAGCCUGUGCAUUUACCUAAGAAAAGGGCAUAAAGUAAAACAUAUGCUACUUUAUAUACAGGGAAGACUUCUGGAAAGUUAGCAACAAAGCCAGCUUUAUUACUGUUGAAUAGCUUUCUUCCCAGAGGGCGGGGGGAUUAAUGGAGCCCUCCACAGAGGAGAGGUGAUGGGCAUCUGGUAACCAUCUCCAGACAUAAGCCUACUCACCAUCAUCUUCAUCUUUCAGACCAUGAGCUAGCAGGAUGAGGCCUUGCAGUUUGUUCAUGGAUGUCUCUCAGAACAAGACAGGGACAUUUAACCUACAUGAGAGGACCUGGCAGUUUUCUGGAGCACUGGAGGAUUCCACAGGAGCUGCCCCCAGAUGCCUUCUGCAUUGCCUGGACCUGGUGCUUCCAGCUGUCAGCUCUGGAGCUGAUAUAGCAGCCCUGUGUUUGAGCAGCUGCAGCCCCGGGAAAGUUGUCUUACAGAGUGAAAGGACACCCAGGCUUCUGGCAGAACUGCCAGGUGGCCUCACAGGAGCUACUGUGGGAAUGUUUGGUAACAGAAUGAGGACACAAGCAAUAGCAGAAAAGGAAAGAUCACGUCAUCUUUGGCAUUCUUGGUCCUUGCUUCUAUUCCAGGGAGACCAAAGUUUAGGACACAAUCACAGGAUGAGUUCAGAGUGUUCAUUUCAUCAAGCCAUGAUAAUUGACAGGGUUGAUAAACUAAUACCUACGUGGACAUAGGACAUCAGUUCUGGGAACAGCUGUUUGUGACUCCUGUUUUCCUGGAAGGGCUUUCACCAGAUAUGCUGCAUUUCAAGAGUGCCUUCAGGCUCUGACAGAUGUGCCUGGCCGACCUGCGGUGGCGUCCCCCUGGUGCCUGCUGGGGCAGGGGUGGGAAGGAGCUGGCAGAGGGCAAGCAGAGCAGUCUGGCCACGCAUCUCCUGCUGCCGCUCUGGCUUUUCAGGGUGGUAGGAGCAGCUAGUGGAGGGGAAGCCACGAGGCAUAUGACUGCCUCUGGUUGUUUCCCUCUCUUUUUGCUCUCCUCAGUGCCUGGAGUCAGAAACUCAAAUGGGAAUGUUUUUCUGUUUUAAGAAGUACAUGUAUGUUUGUUUUCUGUGCUCUUCUGCUGUCUGCAGCUGGGCUUCUGGCACGUAUGUAAAGAUAGCAUAAAUCUAAGAGCUGAUCACAUGUAAUGAUUAUUAUCCGGUGCCACUUCUGAGGUAUCCUGGAAGCAUAUCCCAUCACACAGUCAUCUUUUUCCUGUGCUUCAGUGUUAUUAGCAGAGAUAGCCCAUGUUAUCUAGGUUACAUGUAUCAAAACAUACCAAGUUAAAACUAGGCUUUUAAACUAGUUUUAGCAGAACCAAUUUUACAUUCCCUGUAACUGGCUUCUUUUAUACCACGUGUCUUACCACAUGUAAGCCAUGUGUCUUACUGACAGUGACACGAUGAAAUGCAUGUAACCUUUUUUUCAACAAUGUCAACAGAUAAAUGAUUAAGGUAAAUACAGCCAAGCUGUUACAUGAAGAUUUUCAUGACAACUGCAUUUCUUGUACUUUGUAUCAAUAAAAACUAGUAUUCAUAACUUAGUCUAUUAAAA